UACGGGGGGGGUAAGCGUUGUUCGGAAUUACUGGGCGUAAAGGGCUCGUAGGCGGCCAACUAAGUCAUACGUGAAAUCCCUCAGCUUAACUGGGGAACUGCGUGUGAUACUGGAUGGCUUGGAUUUGGGAGAGGGAUGCGGAAUUCCAGGUGUAGCGGUGAAAUGCGCAGAUAUCAGGAGGAACACCGGUGGCGAAGGCGGCAUCCUGGACCGGCAUUGACGCUGAAUAGCGAAAGCCAGGGGAGCAAACGGG
RNAcentral lists this ribosomal RNA (253 nucleotides) under uncultured bacterium. RNAcentral's name for it is "partial 16S ribosomal RNA". It matches the Rfam family "Bacterial small subunit ribosomal RNA", at positions 524 to 776 of the family's 1533-position model. The record is from RNAcentral.